UGCGCAGGCGGUCUUGCAAGCUGGGUGUGAAAGCCCCGGGCUCAACCUGGGAGGUGCAUUCAGGACUGUGAGGCUUGGAGUGCGGCAGAGGGAGGUGGAAUUCCACGUGUAGCAGUGAAAUGCGUAGAGAUGUGGAGGAACACCGAUGGCGAAGGCAGCCUCCUGGGCCGACACUGACGCUCAUGCACGAAAGCGUGGGGAGCAAACAGGAUUAGAUACCCUGGUAGUCCACGCCCUAAACGAUGUCGACUGGUUGUUGGGGAAGGCAACUUCCUUAGUAACGAAGCUAACGCGUGAAGUCGACCGCCUGGGGAGUACGGCCGCAAGGUUAAA
RNAcentral lists this ribosomal RNA (333 nucleotides) under uncultured Pseudomonadota bacterium. Its description in RNAcentral is "bacterial SSU rRNA". It matches the Rfam family "Bacterial small subunit ribosomal RNA", at positions 568 to 898 of the family's 1533-position model. The record is from RNAcentral. Lineage: Bacteria; Pseudomonadati; Pseudomonadota.